Molecule: ribosomal RNA, 444 nt
Filed under: uncultured bacterium
Lineage: Bacteria
Description: partial 16S ribosomal RNA
Rfam family: Bacterial small subunit ribosomal RNA
Source: RNAcentral
GUAGGGAAUAUUGGGCAAUGGAUGCAAGUCUGACCCAGCCAUCCCGCGUGCCGGAAGAAGGCCCUCAGGGUUGUAAACGGCUUUUGACGGUGAAGAAUCGACAGGAUGCGUCCUGUUUUGACGGUAGCCGUUGAAUAAGCACCGGCUAACUCCGUGCCAGCAGCCGCGGUAAUACGGAGGGUGCGAGCGUUGUCCGGAUUUAUUGGGUUUAAAGGGUGCGUAGGCUGGAAGGUCAGUCAGCGGUGAAAAGCUGUCGCUUAACGAUAGUCUUGCCGCAGAUACUUCCUUUCUUGGAUGAGGAGGAGGCCACUGGAACGGAUGGUGUAGCGGUGAAAUGCAUAGAUAUCAUCCAGAACACCGAUUGCGAAGGCAGGUGGCUGUACCUUAAUCGACGCUGAUGCACGAAAGCAUGGGGAGCAAACAGGAUAGAUACCCGUGUAGUCC